UCAAUUUAUGGUUACUUUGCUUUAGUUGUACUGAGCAAUCCAAGCCUAGAUUCACCCAGGGCUCUCAGGGCACUCCCAAACUGCAGGGGGCAAUCAUGCAACAAAAGUUGGUGGAACCAACUUUUGGGGAAGUAGCUUUUGGGACUAUAUUUGCCUGCGCACCCACAGAGAGAGCAUGGCAUUGAAAUGUUUGUAGAGAGUUCGGUUGGUUCUCUCAUUUAUUCCUGGAAAAGGAUACUAUGAUUACAGCUCCUGAUCACUCAAAGACGCAACUGGUUAUCAACCUAUACCUACUGCCCCACACUGAUCUAUCAAGUCACCUUCAAGAAACUAUACCAUAUUAUUCCAUCACUGGUCUAUCAAACCAUCUCAAAGAAAAAAAAGAAUCAAGAAGUGAAAAGAUUGAGUUGUCCUUUGCGUUCUUCAGAGAGAAAAGCAGUUUUCAAGUUUGGGCUGAGCUGUAAUCAAUUAAAAACACACAGAACUUGACACUA
Molecule: long non-coding RNA, 494 nt
Organism: Micropterus salmoides (largemouth bass)
Lineage: Eukaryota; Metazoa; Chordata; Actinopteri; Centrarchiformes; Centrarchidae
Exons: 2
Source: RefSeq, a predicted model, not a curated record